This 404-nucleotide ribosomal RNA is filed under the name Fusobacteriota bacterium. Its description in RNAcentral is "Fusobacteria bacterium partial 16S ribosomal RNA". It matches the Rfam family "Bacterial small subunit ribosomal RNA", at positions 355 to 776 of the family's 1533-position model. The record is from RNAcentral. Lineage: Bacteria; Fusobacteriati; Fusobacteriota.
UGGGGAAUAUUGCACAAUGGAGGGAACUCUGAUGCAGCGACGCCGCGUGAGUGAUGAAGGAAUUCGUUUCGUAAAACUCUGUUCUAUGGGAAGAAAAGGACUGUACCAUAGGAGAAAGCUCCGGCUAAAUACGUCCCAGCAGCCGCGGUAAUACGUAUGGAGCGAGCGUUGUCCGGAAUUAUUGGGCGUAAAGGGUGCGCAGGCGGCUUUACAAGUUGGAUGUGAAAUAUUGUGGCUCAACCACAAACGUGCAUCCAAAACUGCAAAGCUUGAGUUAAGGAGAGGUAAGUGGAAUUCCUGGUGUAGCGGUGGAAUGCGUAGAUAUCAGGAGGAAUACCGGUGGCGAAGGCGACUUACUGGACUUAAACUGACGCUCAGGCACGAAAGCGUGGGGAGCAAACAGG